GCCUCCCGCACCCCCCGCCCGACCUUCUCCCCCUGCCCUCCCCUGCCCUCCCGUGUCCCCAUCCCGUCGAAACCCUAAGCGGCGGCAGCCGCCAUGGUGAAGGGACGCACGGGGCAGCGCGUCAGGCUCUACAUCCGGGGCACCAUCCUCGGCUUCAAGAGGUCGAAGUCGAACCAGUAUGAGAGCACGUCGCUGGCGGAGGUCGAGGGGGUGAACACCAAGGAGGACGUGGCGUGGUCAGGUGUCGCCGCGACGGAAGAAGCCUCCUCCGCUCUGCUCUGCUCGCCGUGCUGCUGUGGCUCCUGGUGGCAGUGAGCGUGAAGCUGGGGCGGCGCCACAUCGCCCACAACGCGGUGGAGCUGAUGGAGAGGUGUCUGGCCAAGGACGACUUCCCUGAGUACUAUGACGGCAAGACGGGGCGGUACAUCGGGAAGCAGUCGCGCAAGUUCCAGACGUGUUUGUUUAAGGCUGUUGCUUUGCUCUGUGUGAUUUUACUCUAGCAUGUGUGUUGCAUUUUGUCCUGCACCUUGAGAAUGACUAGGAUUUAUGUUAUAGAAUUCCAAGUGUAGUCGCAAUAUAUAACAUGCCUAAAGUAUAUGGACUUGUGCAGUGUGUCCAUCGAGAGUAGAUAGACUAUUUCUUUCAUGAUUCAUCUAUAUAUGCUGCUCUUAUAUGCAAGUUUGUAUCUGGAUGUCUUA
Long non-coding RNA from Triticum dicoccoides, 698 nucleotides. RefSeq lists it as uncharacterized. NCBI's taxonomy places the organism in Eukaryota, Viridiplantae, Streptophyta, Magnoliopsida, Poales, Poaceae. The transcript is spliced from 3 exons. The record is from RefSeq and is a predicted model, not a curated record.